RNAcentral lists this long non-coding RNA (1332 nucleotides) under Ursus maritimus (polar bear). RNAcentral describes it as "lncRNA (ENSUMAG00000000560.1)". Lineage: Eukaryota; Metazoa; Chordata; Mammalia; Carnivora; Ursidae. The record is from RNAcentral.
CAGGGGUGUCCUGACAUGCCUUAGAUCCUCAAAGAUCUAAAAACUUUUCUAGAAUGGGAAGCAGUACAGGAUCCUUUCUCAAGAGGACCCAGGCUUUGGGUCUGAAAACUGGCUCAGCUCUGGAAAUUGUGGGCCCAUCAGGCUUCUCCUAAUAGCUCUUGAUUUUUAUUUUUUGGCCAGUUCUACAAGCCAUGCAACACUCUAUUGGCUGCUCCUCUAUCUCGUUCCUAAGAACACCAUGGUCUAUUAACCAUCAUCAAAACCUCUGUGGGUGGAGGCCCACAGGUCGCCCCUCUGGCUCUGUUGCCUGUUACGGUCUAUGUCUGGUUUGGCUCUGAGAGUUAAGCACUGGCAUCUGGCCUUCGUUAUUCUGGGAUCCCAUCAUUGCCCUUGACACGAGGGAGACUGCUUCGAAGGAGGAGUCACCUAUUUUCAGUCUGGCCCACAGCAGAGGGUCAUCACUAGGCUUCUCAGAGAGGAUGCCCCUUGCUGACAUAGUCUUUAUCGCCUAGUGAAAAUAAUGUUCUUUGAACCCUUCCAAGAAGCAUAUGUCUCACACGAUAGAUUUGUUCUAACAUUCCUGGCUCCCUGAGCAUUGUGAGUCCUUCUUCAGUUUCCUGCCGUGGCACUCCGGACUCUGCCUGUAAUUCACUGUCAGGCAUCACCAUGUCCAAGCCUCAAGGAGCCAUUCAGAAACACACUACUACAAACUGUAAGGGGCUUCCAAGUCAAGAACCUCUCCCUUGCAUUCAUAUUCUGCUCCCCUCCUUGUUCUCCUGUUUAACAUCCUCAAAAAUCACUCCCACGCAUGUGCCCCUAGUUCACGCUGAUGCCUCUCAGCCAAGCCCUGCACCGCUUUCCGAGGAUAAGAUGUUUUCUGCUGGAUUGGGCACUCUGCUUCUCCACUCGGGCUGCCUCAGGACUAGUGACUGGUCCAGGAGCAGUGAAUGGAGGCAGAGGCACAUCUUCAGGAGAACUACAUAUUUGUGUGACAGUCACUGUCAAGAAUCUAGUCUCACCCAGAUCUGGAGAAGAAAACAGAAGCAACAUUCAGGACUUCAACCAAAUAUACAUUAAGACUUUAAUGGAUCUUUUGUGUCAGUGCCAGAAUCUGAGAAAAGAUGUCUUCAGUGUGAAGGAAAGGGGUUUUCAGUCUUCCCAGCUCCUUGUGGGAUAUCUACAUCCUUGGCUGCCUCAUAAGAAGACAAUGUGGAAGGUAAUAAAUGCUUGCUGUUUUGUUUUGUUUUGUUUUUUUAUUUUUUUUAAAUUUUUAAAUUUUUAAAUUCAAUUAGCCAACUUAUAAUAAAUACAUCCUUAGUUUUGGACGUAGCA